RNAcentral lists this ribosomal RNA (198 nucleotides) under uncultured bacterium. RNAcentral describes it as "partial 16S ribosomal RNA". It matches the Rfam family "Bacterial small subunit ribosomal RNA", at positions 335 to 524 of the family's 1533-position model. The record is from RNAcentral.
ACUCCUACGGGAGGCAGCAGUGGGGAAUAUUGGACAAUGGGCGCAAGCCUGAUCCAGCCAUGCCGCGUGGGUGACGAAGGCCUUCGGGUUGUAAAGCCCUGUGGGGUAGAACGAACUGGCAUCGGGCUAAUAUCCCGGUGUCUUGACGGUACUGCCUUAGCAAGCAUCGGCUAACUCUGUGCCAGCAGCCGCGGUAAU